Molecule: ribosomal RNA, 250 nt
Filed under: uncultured prokaryote
Description: partial 16S ribosomal RNA
Rfam family: Bacterial small subunit ribosomal RNA
Source: RNAcentral
UACGUAGGGAGCGAGCGUUAUCCGGAAUUAUUGGGCGUAAAGGGUGCGUAGGUGGCAAUGUAAGUCUUAUGUAAAAAUGCUAGGCUCAACCUAGUAGGGCAUAAGAUACUGCAUAGCUCGAGUAUUGGAGAGGCAAGUGGAACUCCAUGUGUAGCGGUAAAAUGCGUAAAUAUAUGGAAGAACACCAGUGGCGAAGGCGGCUUGCUAGCCAGAUACUGACAUUGAGGCACGAAAGCGUGGGGAGCAAACA